Molecule: ribosomal RNA, 172 nt
Filed under: Callitettix costalis
Lineage: Eukaryota; Metazoa; Arthropoda; Insecta; Hemiptera; Cercopidae
Description: partial small subunit ribosomal RNA
Rfam family: Eukaryotic small subunit ribosomal RNA
Source: RNAcentral
CUUUCUUGAUUCGGUGGGUGGUGGUGCAUGGCCGUUCUUAGUUGGUGGAGCGAUUUGUCUGGUUAAUUCCGAUAACGAACGAGACUCUAGCCUGCUAACUAGGCGAUUUCCGGUACCCACAAUAGUGUUACCGGCGAUACAAUUUCUUCUUAGAGGGACAGGCGGCUCCUAG